This 937-nucleotide ribosomal RNA is filed under the name Bacillus sp. (in: firmicutes). RNAcentral describes it as "bacterial SSU rRNA". It matches the Rfam family "Bacterial small subunit ribosomal RNA", at positions 361 to 1289 of the family's 1533-position model. Lineage: Bacteria; Bacillati; Bacillota; Bacilli; Caryophanales; Bacillaceae. The record is from RNAcentral.
AUCUUCCGCAAUGGACGAAAGUCUGACGGAGCAACGCCGCGUGAGUGAAGAAGGUUUUCGGAUCGUAAAACUCUGUUGUCAGGGAAGAACAAGUACCAUAGUAACUGAUGGUACCUUGACGGUACCUGACCAGAAAGCCACGGCUAACUACGUGCCAGCAGCCGCGGUAAUACGUAGGUGGCAAGCGUUGUCCGGAUUUAUUGGGCGUAAAGCGCGCGCAGGCGGUCUUUUAAGUCUGAUGUGAAAGCCCACGGCUCAACCGUGGAGGGUCAUUGGAAACUGGGAGACUUGAGUGCAGAAGAGGAGAGUGGAAUUCCACGUGUAGCGGUGAAAUGCGUAGAGAUGUGGAGGAACACCAGUGGCGAAGGCGACUCUCUGGUCUGUAACUGACGCUGAGGCGCGAAAGCGUGGGGAGCGAACAGGAUUAGAUACCCUGGUAGUCCACGCCGUAAACGAUGAGUGCUAAGUGUUAGAGGGUUUCCGCCCUUUAGUGCUGCAGCUAACGCAUUAAGCACUCCGCCUGGGGAGUACGGCCGCAAGGCUGAAACUCAAAGGAAUUGACGGGGGCCCGCACAAGCGGUGGAGCAUGUGGUUUAAUUCGAAGCAACGCGAAGAACCUUACCAGGUCUUGACAUCCUCUGACAACUCUAGAGAUAGAGCGUUCCCCUUCGGGGGACAGAGUGACAGGUGGUGCAUGGUUGUCGUCAGCUCGUGUCGUGAGAUGUUGGGUUAAGUCCCGCAACGAGCGCAACCCUUGAUCUUAGUUGCCAGCAUUCAGUUGGGCACUCUAAGGUGACUGCCGGUGACAAACCGGAGGAAGGUGGGGAUGACGUCAAAUCAUCAUGCCCCUUAUGACCUGGGCUACACACGUGCUACAAUGGAUGGUACAAAGGGCAGCAAAGCCGCGAGGCCGAGCGAAUCCCAUAAAGCCAUUCUC